GUCCCCGUAGCUCAAUGGAUAGAGCGCUUGUCUUCGGAACAAGAGGUUGCGGGUUCGAGUCCUGCCGGGGACGCAA
RNAcentral lists this transfer RNA (76 nucleotides) under Candidatus Wolfebacteria bacterium. Its description in RNAcentral is "tRNA-Arg". It matches the Rfam family "tRNA". Rfam says of the family: Transfer RNA (tRNA) molecules are approximately 80 nucleotides in length. Their secondary structure includes four short double-helical elements and three loops (D, anti-codon, and T loops). The record is from RNAcentral. Lineage: Bacteria; Candidatus Wolfeibacteriota.